AAGCCAUCUGGUGGACCGUUCCUGUUUUCAAUUGUAGAGAGUCACUGACUGAAGUGCCAAUCAACAGCAGACAAAUGGGCUCUCCCAUCAAGAUGUGGAAACUGUAGGAUUGUCAAUUCCUUGGUCUCAUGUCACAUUUCCAUGUGAAUCCUUCUAAAAAAAAAGGAAGGGCCAGUGAAGUCUCCAUCGACAAGCUAACUGGAAGUUAAUGGCUUAAUGGCUACCAGCCAUGUCUAUUGAAUAGAAUAGAAUAGAAUUUUUUAUUGGCCAAGUGUGAUUGGACACACAAGGAAUUUGUCUUGGUGCAUAUGCUCUCAGU
Molecule: long non-coding RNA, 319 nt
Organism: Ahaetulla prasina
Lineage: Eukaryota; Metazoa; Chordata; Lepidosauria; Squamata; Colubridae
Exons: 2
Source: RefSeq, a predicted model, not a curated record